AGAGCUGGCCGGCUUGUCGCUUGCCCCACACCAGGAGCAAGAGGAAAGUCCGGGCAACAUAGGGCAGCCCACUUCCUAACGGGAAGAUAUCCGCGAGGGUAACAUAACGCAGAAGAAAACAACCGCCUUGGCUUUUAACGGCAAAGGUAAGGGUGAGAAGGCGAGGUAAGAGCUCACCGACCGGACAGUGAUGUCGCGGGGCGUGCGUUACGGGUGUUGAAAGUUCAAGUAAACCGGUGCUUGAGAGCGGCCCGCUCAAACUACCGUGCAUCGGAGGGUAGAACGAUAGAGCCCCGGGGCAACCUCGGGCGUAGAUAAAUGACAGGCAUUCCUCUUAAAGAGGAACACAGAACCCGGCUUACAGGCCAACUCUUUUU
This 377-nucleotide RNase P RNA is filed under the name Prevotellaceae bacterium. Its description in RNAcentral is "RNase P RNA component class A". It matches the Rfam family "Bacterial RNase P class A". Rfam says of the family: Ribonuclease P (RNase P) is a ubiquitous endoribonuclease, found in archaea, bacteria and eukarya as well as chloroplasts and mitochondria. Its best characterised activity is the generation of mature 5'-ends of tRNAs by cleaving the 5'-leader elements of precursor-tRNAs. The record is from RNAcentral. Lineage: Bacteria; Pseudomonadati; Bacteroidota; Bacteroidia; Bacteroidales; Prevotellaceae.